RNAcentral lists this long non-coding RNA (1535 nucleotides) under Lactuca sativa (garden lettuce). RNAcentral describes it as "long non-coding RNA (LSAT_LNC009951)". Lineage: Eukaryota; Viridiplantae; Streptophyta; Magnoliopsida; Asterales; Asteraceae. The record is from RNAcentral.
UGUUUUGGAUAGCUAAAAUGUGUGUAUAACCUACAGUAAAGUAUUUAACAUGAAGAAUUUUCAAAGCCCAGUGGUCAGCAUAUUUAAAAAUUAAUAACCAUGAUAUAUCUUGCAAGAAAUUACCUUCCCAAUUAAAAUGGAUUUUUCAUUCUUGAAGCUAUCACCAAAUCUUUGACAUUCGCCAGAUGCCUAUUUGCAAUGUUUUCACCUGAUACAUGAAUUGAAAAUUUUCAUUUGUUGCUCUGUUUUAUAAUAUAACCUACUUAAUUAUAACAAAAAGAAUGCUCAAAGACAUUCCACUAAAGACUAAUCCAUCUGAAAGUGUAUCUCAAUUCAAGCCCUCCCUUUCUUAAGCCAAAUUGAAACUUAAUGUACGUACUACAGAGGCAUUGUCUAGGUAUUGAAUUCAAUCUCAUCUCCAGCAAAACAUUAUAACUAUAUAUAGCAUUUCUACUAAUUGAUGCCAUUCUUUUAUUCUCUUGUCUUACUUACUAGAUAUGCUUAUAUUUUGGUAACUAAUAGUGUUAUAGGAAUGUAACAUUGAAUGGUUGAUUAUGUUACUUAUACUGACUCAAUGCUUUCUUACUUGUUUUUAAAAGUAAUUACAAUAACCUGUCUAAUUAUGAGCAAAAAAGAUAAAGUUGGUCCAAACAGAAAAGUUUGUAAAAUAAGGAAAGCAAAAUGAAGAACAUUCACAACCUCAAAGGAAAAAAGUGUAAGCAGGAGAUGUUUUCAGGGCAAGUAAAAGAAAGAGUAUUUGAAGUGUCUGGGGAUCAAAACUCACUGAAUCCAAUAUAAAUGAAAAAGAAUGCUGUCUUUAAGAAACAAUGUUAAAGUGCUUAUCUAUCAAUAUAAAUGGAGUGGAGAAGGAUUUUAAGAGAGCUUGGGUUAGAAAUAUGGUGCUUAAAAAUCAGGUUACUUUUGCUGGGGAAAAAGAACCCGCAAUUAUGCAGUAGCUGAGGCAAUUGAAAGAUCUGGUGAGCUUGUGUCAAUGUGGGACCCCAAUCUUUUUGAUGUUAUCAAAUUAAAGGAAGAAAUUAUAUUGUUGCAAGUAACUGAGAUAUGGAAAACCUGCAACACAAUACGUCACCUCAUCAUUUAGUUGAUUCUUUUUUACUUAAGUUGACAUCAUCCCAUAGUUUUAGCAUAAUAUAUAAUAUUCUCAAUUUCAUUACUUAACAUUGCCUAAUUCACUCAAAUCACCAUUACCCAUUUUAAUCGAGAAAUUGACAAAAUUAGGUCAGGAAACACAAUCUCAACUUAACUUUCUUCUAAGUUAGUUCUAUGUCUUGAUUUAGCUUACAUCCCAACAACUAAUCAUCUUACAACCAUUAAUUUAACACAACUUAAGCAAACUUUACAUAUAUAAUCAACGUACCUCGACUAAUAAAUCGGCUCCCAGUUCAACCCAGAAUGAUUUCUCCUCAAUAUUACAAGUCAUAUACUUAAAUCGACUGUACUAUGAUUUUCAAUUCACUGAUUUACUUCAUGAAUUCUCCUUCUUCCAUCUUUCGCUUUACUUGAACUUGCUCGUU